GACGAACGCUGGCGGCGUGCUUAACACAUGCAAGUCGAACGGAAAGGCCCUGCUUGUGUGGGGUGCUCGAGUGGCGAACGGGGGAGUAACACGUGAGUAACCUGCUCUUGACUUUGGGAUAACUUCAGGAAACUGGGGCUAAUACCGGAUAGGAGCUCCUGCUGCAUGGUGAGGGUUGGAAAGUCUCGGCGGGUGGGGAUGGACUCGCGGCUUACCAGCUUGCUGGUGGGGUAGUGGCUUACCAAGGCUUUGACGGGUAGCCGGCCUGAGAGGGGGACCGGCCACCUGGGGCCUAAGAUACGGCCCAGACUCGUACGGGAGGCAGCAGUGGCGAGUAUUGCACAGUGGGAGGAAGCCUGAUGCAGAAACGCCGCGUGCGGGAUGACGGCCUUCGGGUUGUAAACCGCUUUCGCCUGUGACGAAGCGUGAGUGACGGUAAUGGGUAAAGAAGCACCGGCUAACUACGUG
RNAcentral lists this ribosomal RNA (468 nucleotides) under uncultured bacterium. RNAcentral's name for it is "partial 16S ribosomal RNA". It matches the Rfam family "Bacterial small subunit ribosomal RNA", at positions 28 to 507 of the family's 1533-position model. The record is from RNAcentral.